RNAcentral lists this ribosomal RNA (3011 nucleotides) under Salmonella enterica subsp. enterica serovar Typhimurium. Its description in RNAcentral is "23S ribosomal RNA". It matches the Rfam family "Bacterial large subunit ribosomal RNA". The record is from RNAcentral. Lineage: Bacteria; Pseudomonadati; Pseudomonadota; Gammaproteobacteria; Enterobacterales; Enterobacteriaceae.
GGGUUGUGAGGUUAAGCGACUAAGCGUACACGGUGGAUGCCCUGGCAGUCAGAGGCGAUGAAGGGCGUGCUAAUCUGCGAUAAGCGCCGGUAAGGUGAUAUGAACCGUUAUAACCGGCGAUUUCCGAAUGGGGAAACCCAGUGUGAUUCGUCACACUAUCAUUAACUGAAUCCAUAGGUUAAUGAGGCGAACCGGGGGAACUGAAACAUCUAAGUACCCCGAGGAAAAGAAAUCAACCGAGAUUCCCCCAGUAGCGGCGAGCGAACGGGGAGGAGCCCAGAGCCUGAAUCAGCAUGUGUGUUAGUGGAAGCGUCUGGAAAGGCGCGCGAUACAGGGUGACAGCCCCGUACACAAAAGCGCAUGUGCUGUGAGCUCGAUGAGUAGGGCGGGACACGUGGUAUCCUGUCUGAAUAUGGGGGGACCAUCCUCCAAGGCUAAAUACUCCUGACUGACCGAUAGUGAACCAGUACCGUGAGGGAAAGGCGAAAAGAACCCCGGCGAGGGGAGUGAAAAAGAACCUGAAACCGUGUACGUACAAGCAGUGGGAGCACCCUUCGGGGUGUGACUGCGUACCUUUUGUAUAAUGGGUCAGCGACUUAUAUUCUGUAGCAAGGUUAACCGUAUAGGGGAGCCGGAGGGAAACCGAGUCUUAAUUGGGCGUUAAGUUGCAGGGUAUAGACCCGAAACCCGGUGAUCUAGCCAUGGGCAGGUUGAAGGUUGGGUAACACUAACUGGAGGACCGAACCGACUAAUGUUGAAAAAUUAGCGGAUGACCUGUGGCUGGGGGUGAAAGGCCAAUCAAACCGGGAGAUAGCUGGUUCUCCCCGAAAGCUAUUUAGGUAGCGCCUCGUGAAUUCAUCUCCGGGGGUAGAGCACUGUUUCGGCUAGGGGGCCAUCCCGGCUUACCAACCCGAUGCAAACUGCGAAUACCGGAGAAUGUUAUCACGGGAGACACACGGCGGGUGCUAACGUCCGUCGUGAAGAGGGAAACAACCCAGACCGCCAGCUAAGGUCCCAAAGUCAUGGUUAAGUGGGAAACGAUGUGGGAAGGCCCAGACAGCCAGGAUGUUGGCUUAGAAGCAGCCAUCAUUUAAAGAAAGCGUAAUAGCUCACUGGUCGAGUCGGCCUGCGCGGAAGAUGUAACGGGGCUAAACCAUGCACCGAAGCUGCGGCAGCGAACGUAUCACCCAAGACAACUUUACGGAGUUGACGAUUGACGGAGCGAAGCGACGUCAAAGCGUUCAUUAAAGUCGAGUUGGCUUAGGGAUACGUUCGUUGGGUAGGGGAGCGUUCUGUAAGCCUGUGAAGGUGUGUCGUGAGGCAUGCUGGAGGUAUCAGAAGUGCGAAUGCUGACAUAAGUAACGAUAAAGCGGGUGAAAAGCCCGCUCGCCGGAAGACCAAGGGUUCCUGUCCAACGUUAAUCGGGGCAGGGUGAGUCGACCCCUAAGGCGAGGCCGAAAGGCGUAGUCGAUGGGAAACGGGUUAAUAUUCCCGUACUUGGUGUUACUGCGAAGGGGGGACGGAGAAGGCUAUGUUGGCCGGGCGACGGUUGUCCCGGUUUAAGCGUGUAGGUGUGUGUUCCAGGUAAAUCCGGUUCACUUUAACACUGAGGCGUGACGACGAGGCACUACGGUGCUGAAGCAACAAAUGCCCUGCUUCCAGGAAAAGCCUCUAAGCAUCAGGUAACACGAAAUCGUACCCCAAACCGACACAGGUGGUCAGGUAGAGAAUACCAAGGCGCUUGAGAGAACUCGGGUGAAGGAACUAGGCAAAAUGGUGCCGUAACUUCGGGAGAAGGCACGCUGACACGUAGGUGAAGUGAUUUACUCAUGGAGCUGAAGUCAGUCGAAGAUACCAGCUGGCUGCAACUGUUUAUUAAAAACACAGCACUGUGCAAACACGAAAGUGGACGUAUACGGUGUGACGCCUGCCCGGUGCCGGAAGGUUAAUUGAUGGGGUCAGCGUAAGCGAAGCUCCUGAUCGAAGCCCCGGUAAACGGCGGCCGUAACUAUAACGGUCCUAAGGUAGCGAAAUUCCUUGUCGGGUAAGUUCCGACCUGCACGAAUGGCGUAAUGAUGGCCAGGCUGUCUCCACCCGAGACUCAGUGAAAUUGAACUCGCUGUGAAGAUGCAGUGUACCCGCGGCAAGACGGAAAGACCCCGUGAACCUUUACUAUAGCUUGACACUGAACAUUGAGCCUUGAUGUGUAGGAUAGGUGGGAGGCUUUGAAGUGUGGACGCCAGUCUGCAUGGAGCCGACCUUGAAAUACCACCCUUUAAUGUUUGAUGUUCUAACGUGGACCCGUAAUCCGGGUUGCGGACAGUGUCUGGUGGGUAGUUUGACUGGGGCGGUCUCCUCCUAAAGAGUAACGGAGGAGCACGAAGGUUGGCUAAUCCUGGUCGGACAUCAGGAGGUUAGUGCAAUGGCAUAAGCCAGCUUGACUGCGAGCGUGACGGCGCGAGCAGGUGCGAAAGCAGGUCAUAGUGAUCCGGUGGUUCUGAAUGGAAGGGCCAUCGCUCAACGGAUAAAAGGUACUCCGGGGAUAACAGGCUGAUACCGCCCAAGAGUUCAUAUCGACGGCGGUGUUUGGCACCUCGAUGUCGGCUCAUCACAUCCUGGGGCUGAAGUAGGUCCCAAGGGUAUGGCUGUUCGCCAUUUAAAGUGGUACGCGAGCUGGGUUUAGAACGUCGUGAGACAGUUCGGUCCCUAUCUGCCGUGGGCGCUGGAGAACUGAGGGGGGCUGCUCCUAGUACGAGAGGACCGGAGUGGACGCAUCACUGGUGUUCGGGUUGUCAUGCCAAUGGCACUGCCCGGUAGCUAAAUGCGGAAGAGAUAAGUGCUGAAAGCAUCUAAGCACGAAACUUGCCCCGAGAUGAGUUCUCCCUGAGACUUAGAGUCUCCUGAAGGAACGUUGAAGACGACGACGUUGAUAGGCCGGGUGUGUAAGCGCAGCGAUGCGUUGAGCUAACCGGUACUAAUGAACCGUGAGGCUUAACCUUACAACGCCGAAG